Non-coding RNA from Puccinia graminis f. sp. tritici CRL 75-36-700-3, 121 nucleotides. The record is from the annotation of a RefSeq genome assembly. Lineage: Eukaryota; Fungi; Basidiomycota; Pucciniomycetes; Pucciniales; Pucciniaceae.
GGGGUUGUAGUGUAGUGGCUAUCACGCGUCAUUUGCAAUGACACUCAUAUGACACCCCUUGGGGGUAUCGGGUGGAUAUAAAAACUUGACGAGGUCCCGGGUUCAAUCCCCGGCGACUCCA